RNAcentral lists this ribosomal RNA (254 nucleotides) under uncultured bacterium. RNAcentral's name for it is "partial 16S ribosomal RNA". It matches the Rfam family "Bacterial small subunit ribosomal RNA", at positions 524 to 777 of the family's 1533-position model. The record is from RNAcentral.
UACGAAGGGGGCUAGCGUUGCUCGGAAUUACUGGGCGUAAAGCGCACGUAGGCGGCUUUCUAAGUCGGGGGUGAAAUCCUGGAGCUCAACUCCAGAACUGCCUUCGAUACUGGAGAGCUUGAGUCCGGGAGAGGUGGGUGGAACUGCGAGUGUAGAGGUGAAAUUCGUAGAUAUUCGCAAGAACACCAGUGGCGAAGGCGGCUCACUGGCCCGGUACUGACGCUGAGGUGCGAAAGCGUGGGGAGCAAACAGGG